AGUGAACGCUGGCGGUAGGCCUAACACAUGCAAGUCGAACGGCAGCACAGUAUGAGCUGGCUCCUACGGGUGGAGAGUGGCGGACGGCUGCGGAAUACAUCGGAAUCUACUUUUUAAUGGGGGAAAACGUAGGGAAACUUACGCUAAUACCGCAUACGACCUACGGGUGAAAGCAGGGGAUUUUCGGACCUUGCGCGACUGAAUGAGCCGAUGUCGGAUUAGCUAGUUGGCGGGGUAAAGGCCCACCAAGGCGACGAUCCGUAGCUGGUCUGAGAGGAUGAUCAGCCACACUGGAACUGAGACACGGUCCAGACUCCUACGGGAGGCAGCAGUGGGGAAUAUUGGACAAUGGGCGCAAGCCUGAUCCAGCCAUACCGCGUGGGUGAAGAAGGCCUUCGGGUUGUAAAGCCCUUUUGUUGGGAAAGAAAAGCAGCAGGUUAAUACCCCGCUGUGCUGACGGUACCCAAAGAAUAAGCACCGGCUAACUUCGUG
Molecule: ribosomal RNA, 492 nt
Filed under: uncultured bacterium
Lineage: Bacteria
Description: partial 16S ribosomal RNA
Rfam family: Bacterial small subunit ribosomal RNA
Source: RNAcentral